Molecule: long non-coding RNA, 4500 nt
Organism: Lytechinus pictus (painted urchin)
Lineage: Eukaryota; Metazoa; Echinodermata; Echinoidea; Temnopleuroida; Toxopneustidae
Exons: 3
Source: RefSeq, a predicted model, not a curated record
CUCUCUCUGUCGUUGCCUCCUACUCCGCCAUCAUAUUUAACGAAGAAUACAUCACUUCUUCACUCGCUGAGCUGAGAGGAUUGUUGCAUAACACCGGUUGAAUUCGGCGAAAGUGCUAGUGAAAGGAGUACAUUGCUUGCAUAUAUCGCGGGAAGUUAUUCAAAAGCGCGGGCCGUUGAAACUCCAAGAUCCGAAAGUGCGCAUGCUCGUAAUAUCGGGCUUGUUGCCUCGCUCGAGCAGGAAUCGCUGUCGUGGGAUGGUGCAGACGGGGUUUCUUGAAUCUCGAGAUUAAUCGCGAAGAGGGCUGAUCGGGCUAAAAUCUCGAGAUUGAGCAAACUCGGGAUGGUGCAGCACCGCCUACUGUAACCAGAAAUCCAUUGAUUGUUCAUACUAUCUACCAUAGUUUCCAGCCCACAUAGUCCAUUUUUGUUUGCUUCAGAGUCUUGUUACAUCUACAGGUAGACAGGGGAACACCCAUUGAUCUUGAUAUUGGAUGCCAUGCUGUUCAUCUUAUUAGGUCUUGUGGUCUACCAACAGUUUAGUUCAAGAGACUUUUCCUCCAGCAAGGUCUCCUGUCAGCAUUGAGUCAUCAUGGAUCUUCAUGAAUAGAAGCUUGUCUAGAGGAUGAUGAGUGUAUGGGUCUUUCUGAGGUCAUGGUGAACAUGGGUUGUGAUGAAAUACAAGAGAGAUUGUCAGGAAACAAAUCACUCACUUUAUGAACGGACAAGAUAAGACGAGAUACAAACAUCCACAAACCAGGUACGUAUAGUCUUUUAAAGUUAUUUGGUAUAUAUUAUCCUUUAUUCAGAUAGUUCUAAUGAACAAAGAAUUACUUAAAAUCAUUACAAAGUGUCACAGAAACUAUUCUAAUUAAUUUUACUAAUUGUAGACGAAGUAGGGGUCCUGUCUUUCCAAAGCUUUGACAUUCCUGGUAAAUAUAAUAUACGAGGUAAAUACUGGACUGACUUGUAUUGAAGACACCAAGGUUCAUGCUAGAGCAACAACCAACUGAUGUACAUCAUUUCUCCAGGAUUUGAGGCACCCAUUGCAUGCAUCGUUUGUAUAUUUACAUGCAUUACUACAGUAUUUCCAGGGAAAUUGUCAUCUCCCUAAACCAUAAUUUCAUCACUUUUGGGAUAAUCAGCAAAAUGAAUUCCCAGUUUUUCCAAGGGUUGAAUCAUCCAUGUAUCUUGUUAUUAACAGCUGAUGAUAAUAAUAAUUUAUUACCCUUAAACAAAUUAAAUGAAAUUCAGUCUGAAGAAAUUCUUUAAAAAUGAUGUACUCCCAAAAGAAAACAUAAGUAAUAUCUAAUAAACAUGCAGUAUUAUUAGAAAUUAUACAUCAUAGAUGAAAUGUAGUAGAAUAAAAAAUAUGAAUAGAUCCCAUAAAGAAAGGCUAAAGAACUUGCAUCAUCAAUUUUAUUAAGGGGUGUGUCAUUUUGAAUAGGCAGCUGCUGAACAGUUUAUUGAUAGAGGCAUGGUCCUGUGUACAUAAUGACUGUUUACUCAUUUAAAACUUUUUUACUUUCCUGUGAGAAAUGAAAUAAGAUUAGAUUAUAGAAGGGUAUCUCUUAUUGGUGUCAUAAUAAUAUUUUAUGAAGGAGUAAACAAGAUGCUACUGAUUUAUAAUCUUAUCUGAAGAUAAAAGGGGUAUAUAGUUCCAAAUGUUUAAAAACCACAGAGUCAUUCAAAUUAAUAAUCAGCUUAUUAAACAGAACUUUGGAUCCUUAAACAGAUAUGGACAGAUAAUAAACAAAUUGCAACAUGAACAGCUUCAAACUUUAAUGUAUACGUGUAUCCUAUUGACAGACCUUUAGCCUUAGAUGGUUACGUCCAUGAUCAUAUUCAGGAUGAUUUUCAUAUGGUACUAUGUAUUCUUAUCUUUCAUGAUUCAGAUAUGAACUACCAGUGUCAUAAGGUGGUUUCAAACCGCCUCGAUCACAAGAAUCCCCGUUAAAUUACGAAAAAUUUUACAUGCUAAAAAAUACCAGAUAAUUAUUCCUGCAUUCAGACCGCCCCGAAACACACUCUUUGGGGAAAUUUCGCGAAGUUAUGAGCAUGCGCAGUACUGUCUGGUAGCAGACGAAGAAGUGUGCGCUUUUAGCGGUACCAUCAGGGGACGGCCGGGGCGGGAGAUCCGCCUGCGGCCGGCCUAGCUCUAGCACGUACUAUAUCUACUCGAUCGUAUGCGCAAAUCAUUUGUUCCCUUGAUCAUCUGCAAUUGCACUAGAUUUCUCUCCACAUUUAAAUUAAGGCCUUUGUGGCCUCCUCACUCCAGUGCGAUGUCAUUUGGUAUGAAAAUGUAGAAUACUGGUAAAUAUCACCCUUAAUUCGUAAAACUAUUUUUUAAAGAAGAAUCAAUCGCCUAGUCAAAGUCGAACCCCGAGUCACGUCGCAUGAGAAGUGUACGUACAGGUAUGUUUACCCCUGCAUAUGCAUGCACUGGCGCUGGCUUACUCGCUCGGUAGGCCUCGCAUCAGCCUUGCAUAUCCAUGCAUAUCGAACAGCGCGCGCUAUGCACCGGAAAUUCACUUAUCGCGGUGAUCGUUGGGAUACAAGUUCCCGUAGUUUGCUUUCAGAUUGCCAAAAUACCCACGACCUUGGAAAAAUCCCCGCGAAAGUUAUCAUAAUUUCGCCAAGUACCUUCUAUUUAGCGAGUAUUUUCUUUCGGGGAUAUUACGCGUAGUUUGCUUUCACAUUACCAAAAUACCUGGUAUUUUCUGAUCGGGGUAAAUUUCCCGAUCAGAGAAUACCUGGAACUGACGAAUUUCGAGGCGGUCUGAAACCACCUGUCGUGAAUGAAAAAUAGGGUUAGCACGUUCAUUAAUUGCAGAUACAAGAUAGAUGGAAGUUCUGCUAUAUAAAGUUAAGCAACCAUCUGAAGUUAUGAUAAAUCUGUCUUUUUUCUGCCGUUGAUUGUUUGUGAUUUGAAUUUGUAUUUUUAUCAAACUUGCUGAUUGAAUAUCAGAAAGCUACAUAAAAUUAGAUGAAGUUUUCAGCCAAUUUUCUCUUUUGCAAAGUGGUUUUAUAUUUAAAAAAAAAAUAAUAGGGCCACCCCUAUAGAUUAUAAAAUUUAUCUAUUGUAUUUUGUUUCUAUUUUGUAUCAUCCACACCAUAUCAGGUUUAGGACAGAAUAGGCCUACGCUUUCACAUCAUGUAGUAUUGAAAUGGAUCAAUGACAGACACUUCAAAAGGAUUUACCGAAACUUAGAAUUAGGGUUUUAAACCCUGUAUUUUGGGGAGGGGUCUGUUCUGCUAAGAAAAGUACUUUUUGGAUAAUUUAUGAUUUCCCCUCUCCUGUGUCUGUGAAACUACAUUUGAAGUUUAUAAAUUUCAUUUGUCAUAUCAUCCCAAGCAUUCCCCCUUUGGGGCUGACAUCACCUGUAUCAGGAAUACCUCCCUGUGUUUCUUAAGGUGAUGUCAGCUCCUGACACCAUACCACCAGCUAGACAAGGUAAUACUACCAAGUCUUGACCUUAUAGGUUGGGGGUAUGUACUAUCAUUCAGCAGGAGUUCUUCCUAUUCUCUUCUUACCUGUAGCCUAGACCUUGUCUUUCUUCAGUCCCUAUGAAGAUCAUACCCACUCAAUCACAAAAUAAAUAUACAUUGCUUGUUCAGGCUAAAAUUACCUGAUAAAUCAGGUUGUAUGUUCACACCCACCUGAACCAGAUGAAUUACUGUAGUUAAGAUACAGCAGCAAGACUCUUGCAUUCCUAUAAGCAAACAGAUAGUCCCCCUGUAUACCUGUUCUUCUUGCUUUAUAUCUACUCAUAGUUCAUGUUUUUUACAGUGCCAAAAAGAUCCCUUCGACUUUGGAGUAAUUCCUGUAAAAGUUCUCAUAACUUUGAAAAGUAUCUACCAAUAAGCAUUUUUUUCUUCCAGAGAUAAACAAGUGAUUUGCUUUCAUACUUGCAAAACACUUGGUGUUCUCUGAUAUCAGAAGAAUUUAUGAUAAAAAAAUACAAUUUUUUGUGAUUGAAUGAGUCUGAAAGUACCCUAUGUUUGUCUCCAUCUUUACUGCUGUCUCUGCCAUUCUGUAUCACAUCCCACUGUGAUAUCCUUUUAUACAACUCUGACAUACCACAGAAAAUGAAACAAUUUGAGAAAGAAAAUCCUUGACAAUAAGGCCUACUCCUUUACUUUUUUUGUGCAGUUGUUAAAGCAUAAGUUAUUUUAACAGAAAAUGUUAUAAUCAACAAACUUCUGCCCAAUUCUAACCAAAUAUUCAUUGAUUUCAACAAAUUAUGAGUUAUUUGACCUAUCCUUUUGAAAACUUAACUUUUCAGAUUAUGGCUGAUGCAGAUAGCAUAGAGGUUUCAUUGUCAAUAUCUGUCUAUUUAGGAACUAUAAAGGUUUUUUUUAAUUAUUCAGAUUAAGCUCUUCUAAACAGAAAAACAGUUUAUAGAGUCUAGGAGAUUUGCCAGUCAUAUGCUAUGGUUUAUAAUGAGACCUUUCUCUCUCUAUACAUGCUUGAGCACCCAGUAUGCUUUCCUCCACACAC